Long non-coding RNA from Lagopus muta (rock ptarmigan), 8813 nucleotides. RefSeq lists it as uncharacterized. The transcript is spliced from 3 exons. The record is from RefSeq and is a predicted model, not a curated record. NCBI's taxonomy places the organism in Eukaryota, Metazoa, Chordata, Aves, Galliformes, Phasianidae.
UCGCGCUCUUGCAGCGGACGGGACCGGGCGGGCCGUGCUCCGUCAGAGCGUGCGAGGCGUUCGGCGGCCUGUGGGGGUUCCGUGUCUCCGUUUGCUUUCGUUUGUGUUUUCUGAGGCGGACGCAGUGUGCAAGCGACACCUCGGUUUGCCGUCUGAACAUCCUGAGCCUGCCGCACAGCACGUGGGCCUUCACAUGUAGGAAUGUCGCUCCCCUCGCGUGCCCCAGUCCGCGUCGCACGGUGUGCGGAUCAGCCACAAGCGCCGUGACUGACCAAUAGCCAGUCAGGAAGAGACAUUUUCCUGUACGAACAAUACGUUCCCCCCAUUUAAGAAAUGUAGAUGAGAGACGCAGGAAAUCAUGUUCCAAGAUCUCAGAAAUGUGCAGAAGUCUACCAGAAGAAAAGGAAUUGAGCACCUUACAUUGGCAAGAAUUAUUUCAGAGUGACCCUACAAACAAUUUCUUCACAAGCGUUGCUCACCAAGGGAAAAGUCAUUCUCCCUCUGGCCACAGGGAGCCACACAGCUACCGCUAUGAAUCCAGGGGAAGAUGGGAGAGGAACAAAAGCCAUGGCCUCUUAGCUCCCCUGCCUGGAGUCACAGGAGUUGCUCUAUCCUUGAGGUGACUGUACUGGUUGCACCUGGCCUUCUGUUAGCUGUUUUCUUGCCAGCUCCUGCCGAGAGUAUUUUGUUUGUCUGCUGUUUUUAGCCAGGCGUAUAGAAUGCCUGUGUAGCAAAGUUGCAAGCAAGCGGAGUAAUUAGUGCAGGCUGUCAUCAUAAUUUCUAAGUUUGUUUUUGAGCGCGGCAUUCAGGUCACUUUGCAGCAUGGAGGAUGAUCAUUAACCUGUGAAGCCCUAAGCGACAACAUCAGAGAGCAUGACCCCAGAGCAGAAUCCAUUUGUUAUGUAAUCACCCCAAAUAUGUGAUUCUUAAAUGUUUAACUGUCUCGGUACAGUAAUAAUUCUACACUAGUAGCACCACACACCAGAAAGCAUAAUAAUUACUGACAGUCCAUACCUCUAAGAUAAUUCUAGACCAGACUGUGACAUUAAACUCACUCAACACCAUUAGUUUCUUUACCUAACUGAACUUUAGAGACAGAACUUGUGUUGUACUUUCCUGUUUUCUCCUUAAUAAAUUUCCACCAAGUGUUUGGUAAGCGGAGGGAUCCAAGAAGAGCUUGAACAGAUCUUCAUUCAGGUGAUGGAGGAGAAAACUGAAAAGAUCAGCAACUUGGUGGAGCAGCACCCAGAGAAUAAACUGAUCAAGGUGGAACACAGAGGGAUGAGUGUUUCUGAUUUGUUUUCUUUUCACCGUGUGAUCAUCUUUCUCCAGACAUAAUAUGUACACUGUCUUUGAGGAUUUUAAUUCUCAUUAGGCAUCUAAAUAGAUGUUCUUUCGUUUACUGAGAUACUGAGAACAAGUCAUUGUUCAAUCUCAUUUAUCAGAAUGCCUUAACACUUGCCUAGAUUUUGUCUAAGUAUAAAGACUGAGGCAGUUAUGUUGGACUGGAGAGUCUGCUGCACUGAGGUUUUACUGUGCUGGAUUGGAGAGACCGUGGUGAUAGUGCCAAAGACUUGCCUAGGGUCACAUGAAGCAGCCAUAAAUCAAGCCUGCUCAUCCUGAAUUACUCCAGUCUGCUGCCCCAGCUAGCUCAUUUCUGCUCUUGCAUCAUAACACAGCUGCUUGAAGGUGAAUAUUUGGUCUGUAAAUCUUAAAUCUCAGCCUAAAUGUAACUUCAAUGCUAAAUGUCCCCAGCUUUGUCUGAAAGCUGAUAUUUUCCUAAAUAAAAAGCAUCCCUUAUUUUUCUGUUCUGUAUUUGUAGUGGAGAUGAAGUGCACAGAGCAAGGACUGCUCCUUAGAGGACUUUAGCAAUGCUCUUUGACCAAAUAUUAUUUGACAUUUCCUUUGCCAGUCUGCAAGGCUCCUCAGAGGGCUUAACUACUCUCAUUUCUGCCAAGGAAGCAAAGACACCAUUUCACUUUCCUCAAGCUAAACAGUGUAUGAUGUGCAACAAUUCAGAAUUAAUUUGACAGUAAUGGAGAUGACAAGUAUUACUGUGAGGUAUUUCUGCUAUGAACAUUGCCAUUCUGUCCUCAUUUCACCCCCACCCCCAAGUUUUGGUGUUACAAGGAAUUGCUGAACAGCAGACAGGCUCGUAUACAGGCAAGGCACACUCAUACACUGCUCAGGGAGAGCAGCAGCUUUGGUUUGGGCAGCCUACGUGGGUACAAGAGCCCUGAAGUCCCACAGAAAACUGCAGCACAAGCUUGGAGAGAGAAAUGAAUCAGGCUGGGUGUACAAAAUGCAUAACACGCACAAGUCCAUGGGAAGUAGUAUUUUCUUCUACAAAGACCAGGAUAGGAUCAGAACAAUUUUGGUCACAUGUUUUCGGAAAUAGCGUGGUCUCACACCUUGGUAAGUCACAGGACAUCCAGGGCUGUUUCCACCAGUAAACAGGUAGGAAACUUCCUGGGUCUUUUUCCACUAACAAUGCCCAGAACAAACUGGUGAUUAAAGGAUGCAUUCUCUGUACGUAGCUAAGAAAAACAGAAUGAAUAGCAUUGAAGCCAAGGCAGCCCUAAAGACAGCCACUACUAGCAAUAAUUCCUACCUACCAGAUACACCUUCUCAGCAGAGGUUUAUUCUUCUUCUACCAGUACCCACAGAAAUCAUAGCACAGAGCUGCUCUGGCCUCACUGCCAGUUUCUCAGAUGUGGUCUUUCUUUAACCCCAACUUGCCAUAAUGAUUUUACAGCCUUCCUGUGUAGAUGCAAGCUAAAGACACUUGCUGGAGCUGAUUACUGAAGAAACCCAAACAUAACAGGAAUUCGAAGAUGUGUGAGGGCAGGCAUUACAAGCAAGGGAGAGGCAUGUGAAAAAGUUGGGGAGAAUAUGGCUCAGUCCAGUCUGUUCCUAACCCAUUGCCCCAGUAGUCUUGCUAGAUCAGAAGACAUUUUACCAUUAAAGUUUUUGCUAUCAGAGUUUUUGCCCAUAGCUCAGCCAGGUUUAUCUGGCUGGUGGAAGAAAUUUCCUGAACUUUUAGUACCUUCACAGCUGAACUUAAUCCUGUACUAAGCAUUAACAUGAAGUCUCAGCCUUAUUUAAGUCAAUAGGUGCUUCAUCUCUAACUUCACUCUGAAUAGCUAGUGUAGGCUUAUUUUAACAGGCAGUUGUGUGAUUACAUAAAAAAGUGCGUCUUCUAUGAAGAUCAUUUUUAGUCAGAUACUUGAAAAACUUCAGAAAACAAGACAAUUUUGGGGGCCUUCCAUGCACUUAACUUUUAUGAGAAAAAUAGCUUCACCUGCAUGAUCUAAUGAACAACAGUAAUGUAUUUGCUAUUUCUGGGUAUAAAUUAUUUCAGUGGACAAAAAUCAGAACACAGACACCCUCCCUUUUCUCUAGACGAAGCCAACAGGAAAGCCAGUUACACACACGCUGAGCUGAAAGGGAUGAAACUCCUCUUUACCAAAACCUUGCGUGUUCCUUAUCCUAUGGACAGAGCGGCUGUGUGUCACUUCUGUAUCCUCGGGAUAAAAUGAGCACUGAUACAAACUUCAAAGGAGAUCAACAUUUUGAUCUUUCGGUGGGUUGCAGUACAGAAAAGCAAGAUGCUUUCAUUGUUAACUCUCAUAGACACUUCCAAGCCAAGAAUUACUGCUCAAAGAAGUGCAGAAGAUAAAUAUGUUCAGUGUUCAUUUUGCAUGGACAACAAAGCUGGUGAAUGCUGGAGUCCUACAGAUUCUUGUACUGUGCCUAUACUCUGCUUCCUACUGUGUAAUAGUAGCUGUGCUGCAUGUUCCCCUGAAAUGCCCGCUGGGCACAGACAGCUCAUGCUGCAGUGACUGUGCAGCCAUCCACACAUCGGCCAGCUGACCAAGUUCUGUAAAAUGUCUGUAUUGAGGGUUUUUUCUCAUGUUGCUCAGUAAGCUGGAGAGUCUGUCCCCCAAACAGCUAUCAAUGUUUUCAAUAAAAUACCCCUCUUACUAUCACACUUGACUCUUCUACCUGAUCUAAAUGUAACAGAAUAUGGCCAGUAGGCCUGAAAGCUAUGGGGCAGGGUAACAACAGAUGGCUCAACAACAAAGAUCGUAUUUCUUUAGGAAGCUGGGAACGCUUCCCCAUCCCCAUUGUGUGGGCUGGAAAUGCUACAUUAAGACUCCCAGACAACCUUCUGUUUUAUGGCAAUUAAAUGUAAUACAAUAUUCUAAAGGCAUUAAAGGUAAUUUCCUUAUGUUGUUAUGACAGGGCCAAAUUAUUUUAAUGCCUACUAGAUAAUACUAGAUAAGUAAUUAAUAGUCACAUAUCUUAAUAUGAUAAUUCUAGAAUUUAAAUCUUUUGAAUAUGGGAUAAUCCAAAAUUCCUACAGAAUAUUUCCUUGUAAGUUGCUAAUAUGAAGUGGAUGGAGAGUGUAACGUCUGAAAGUUUAGUGAUUUAAAAUGCCAUAUAAAAGCAAGCUACUUUUUUUCUAAUUUUAGCACUAUCCUUUGUUACAGUUGAAUGUAGCUAUUCAGUCCUAAGAUCAGUUUUUUCUUAAGCCACAGGCUGCUGAAAAAAUUGAAGGCACGAAAAAAUCCUGUUGCUUGGUUAACUGCAGACAGUCCAAGUGUAGCUGUUUUAAAGGGUCUCAAUGCUUAUGAGGAUGAUAGCGUAAUGCACUUGUGCCUACCAUGUUAGCAUUGACAUGAAGGUUGUAGGUAAGUUCAAUUUUGUUCUCCAGUGCUACUAGCAGAAUUUUAAUAGCGAGAUUAUACUUAUACCUACAGUAACAGGGAGACCCACGAUGGCCAACAGGUCUGUGUAGGCCAAAAGAGAGCAGCGUUACCAUGACCGUGCCAUAGCUGUAAAGAAGUUAGUUGUGUCAGUGCACAUCAGUCAACAUACAAACGUUUAUGUAGGUUAAGUGACAGGUUAGUGUGUCCAGCUGGAUGUGAGCAAUAACUUAAUUCAGAAAUGCAGGAGUAGGAGUGUAAUUUAAAGUCACUUUUGUUGUCGGCCUUUGUCCUCCGUUCCUGAGGUGAAAGUGGCACUGGUCACAUCCCUUGAGAAACACAGGCCUGUUGGCUGGUCUCUGUAGCUUCACUUUAGACAGAAUGACAGAAACUGGUGGUUAAUCCCUCCACAAGCUAGCUCAGUGUGUUGUGUUGGCAGGAAAUUAUGGCUUGGUUUGACGGACGUAGGGCUUUUGUCAUUACUACUCAGUGCAGAAAAUGAAAGCACAGGGAGGCAAAGUCAGGCAGCAGGCCAGAGGGCAUGGCUUCCAAGUCUCUUCCACUGUCAGGCCACCUUGACCACAGGGCUUCAUGUGUCACUAUAAAUAGUGUAUAGGCCUCCAAGAUUUCAGUGUCAAAAUCAGUGGUAUUCUAAUGAACUCUGCCCUUCAUUUUCUCCCCUCCCAUCCCCCUUCGUAUUUUUUUGUCUCCUUCUCUCUGCAGGCACACUGAAUAUGUUUUCAGAUUUCAGAUAAAUUUGGAACAUUUUCAUUUAUAAUUCUAAUUAGUAGACAUGAGAGGACCUGACCUCUUUUAUAAUAACUGGAAAGGUUGAGUAAUUGAGGUCUGAGUAAUCAAGGUCAAAAUAUGAUGCUGAGCAUACAUCUUACAGUUACCUAGUUUGGACUUUACAACAUCACAGAUAUUAAACUACAAAAUCUUCAAAACACAAAGAUCUACUUUUUCUCUAUAAAGAAAUAAUAUAUACUUGUUUUUUAAACUGAAAAUUAUUAAUGGCACAGUGUCGUAACAUUUCACGUAGCUGAAGUGCAUCUGCUCAUCUUUAGGUCUAUUCACAUUAGCAAUAAUACUUAGGAUAAAGCUGCUUCUGUCUUUAGUACAGGAUCUGUUAUGUCAUGAGAAGUUCAGUGCCUGCAACAAGCACCAUUACAUAACGAUUCAUCCACACUAUCUAUUGGCAUGCAUUAGUCAACAAGGAUGAGAGGCGUACAGUUGUAUCAAUGGGGAUCAAUGUUCCUCUUUACAUGCUGCAUCAGAGAUAUGAAAAUGGGGCCAAGGAGCAGGUGGCCUGAUAUUUCUAAGGACAUUUCUUCUCUUUCCCCCUAAAAGGAAGAGUGAGAACAUCUCUGGUUCUCUUACACUCAUCUGUUUUCAAAGCUUGAUAGAAUUUGUUAGAGCAGGCUAUUACAGCAUUAUGACAACUCUGAACGUACAGCAUCCCAUCUGCAGUGAUAAUGCAGGAGAGAAGAGGGACAAAUUGGUCCGUGUGCAGUCCUCUGCAGUAGUACCCAUUCAAGUAAAGAUUUCAGAGCAAAAGAAAAGUGCUUACACAUGCCUGAGACAGUUAAACUAAACCUCUGUGAGCUUGUACAUAAUUAUCUCCACAAAGCUGCUUCCUGUCUUUUACAUCAACUACUUCAGUCAAGUAAUUAUUUUUCUUCAGAUUUGUGGAAAGAACAAGAUUGAAGUAAGGUGCUUCUAUCAGAAAAGGGUAAAAGGCAGCAAGAGAGCCAUUGUAAUAGAAACACUAUGGAUCCCCUGGCAAAGAACAGUUCAAGAGGGCAGGGCACAGCAUUUAAUUUGCUUCUCAGUAGGCCAUAAGCCCCCAUAAAAGCAGUUAUUGAAUACUUGUCCCUCAGUCUUCACUGGUGAGCUCACCAGGCACUUCUCCUGUGUUUUUCCUUUGCUGCUGUUUGUUCUGAUUUACUUUAAGCCUGUAGUCUAUGAAGCUGCCAUGUGGUGCUGCCUCGGAGUCAUCUUUAAUUUAAUGCCACAGACAGUAAUUAGAAGGGCAGCUCCGAAAGUAACGUCUCCUAUCUUAUGAUGUUGGAAGAAACAAGUACAAUUAACUGUUUGCAAAACGUAUUUUGUUUUCCUCCUGAUUUGCUGAAGUGAGUAAAAAAAAAUGUCUUGCUGUUCUAAAUUGCCUAGGUAGGUGCCACACUUUACAUUAUCUUGUCAUCGCAAUGCGUGCCUCUAAAAGCAAAGGGUUAUUGCUAUAACCUCAAUACUUCAAGUAUUCAUCCAGUGCUGCAAUGCAAGGAACUUCUUGUGCCUGCAGUUUUAUUCAUUUAGCUACUGCACUCGCCUUUCUUUCUAUACAGCUUAUUUCUGACUCAUCUUCUUACAACAUCCAAGAUAAAAAUAGGUAAUUGUUCCAUCUAAAUUCCCAUAAUCCUUGUACUCAAUAAACAUAAAGUCAUGUAACUGUUCUUAGUCAGGAUUGCACUAAUCAGUGCAACUGGCACUCCUGACCUUGUGAUAUCUAUCCUUACUAUGCCCAGGUCUGCUGUGCUGCCUGAUGCAGCAUAUAUCACACUUCCUUUCACAACCAAGUGCUGGAGAGAGAAAUGGGCACAUCAGAAAGUAAGCACCAAGAACUUUUUGCAAAGCAAUAGGUAUUUUUGUCACAUCUUUACCCUUGGGCUUGGCUCAGUAUUUUGGAUUUAUUUCACGUGGUCAACUAAAGGGCCACAAGUUAAAACCAGAGACCAAAUUUCAUAGACGCUUUAGGAAGACAGUAUUUUAAUGUGGGGGAUAAUUGCUAUUGGCAGUAGAUGUUUUUGCUGUAGGUGCUAACAUUCACUGUUUGAUUUAUGUAAGUUUCACUGGAGCCAGGAGAUCACUAAUGGUAAAUCCAUUACAAAAUCUAAACUCACUGUCAAGCUGUAUUUAAAUGAAUAUUUAAAUAAAUUAUGCUGACAGGCCAAUCAAUUCUCUGAAUGUUAUAAUAAAAAGCAGAAGGAAUGUAAGUGUGCAGGUGAUGAACCUACAGGAAUGAGAACAGAAAUUUAAGUAGCUCAGAGAAGUCCUCAGUCAUUGCAGAAUUGACAGGGCUAUAUAAAGCUAGGGAAGACAAGCAGAAAAAAAACCAAAUUGGGAUUUUAUUUGUUUUUAAACUACUCAUUAACACAAGAGGAAAGGCACAGCUAGUGUGAAGUCAGAGCAUUUAGAACUAAAGAAGCUUUCUCUCAAAACAAAUGAACUCUUAAAAGAACCUGUAGGCAGCCUGCAGUACCCGUCCACCUCCUCAGGCACAAAGAUGUGUCAGGACUACAAAAUAGGACACUAAGGAGGCAGACUGCAAGGAAAACAAAAUAGGGAUACAAGUUUCAGUAGGGCAGGACAUAAGCCAGCUUCUAAUGGGAAGGUUGGAAAGAAAUGACCCUAUACAUAGCAAGGUUACUUGACACUCAUCCACGCAAAGAUCCUUGCAGUUUGCCCUGAGGCUCUGAGAACAGCUAUUCUUGGUGAAGAUAGUGGCUUGGACAUAUCUGGGACCUGACUCACAGGCAGCUUCUGUGGUCUGUAUUUACAUAAUGAAGGCAGGCAUUUGAAGAGUUACUCCAGAUACUGAACAGUCUGAAAAAAAUAGUAUUUUAUUUGUUGCUAUAUUUUGCAGUUCGGGAUCUUAAUAAGUCCAGGGCAGAAACUUUGCGUUGAAAAAUUAAAGAAUAAGAAAUUGGCCAUAUAAUUACUAGUAAAACAGCAAGAUUUGUAGACAGUCAGACCAAAAGCCAAUCAGGAUAACAUCUGGUCUAGUUACCUGCAUCAUGGCGGUCACAACCUCCCCCGAGUAAUUUGGUUAAACAGCACCUACUUCUGUCUCAGCUCCACAGCAAAGUUUUUAAGAUGCCAGUUUUAACUUCAAGAGUAAAGGAGCACAUACAACCCCUUAGGGCCGUUUCUUCUGCACAGAGCUGCGGCAUCUUUCAUCUUUUCUUCAAGACUGUAGUCAGUGAUGGAAACUAACUGCAGAGGGCUUGCAUGUAGUGUUCAACUUUCUUUGUGAUAAAAUAAAUGGAGUAGACUUCUUUAUCCCCUUAAAACAGCUUUUUUUUUUUUCUUCUUCUUUUUUCUUUU